This 87-nucleotide microRNA precursor is filed under the name Marmota monax (woodchuck). The record is from RNAcentral. Lineage: Eukaryota; Metazoa; Chordata; Mammalia; Rodentia; Sciuridae.
AAUUAUAUUCAGGAUCUUGUUCAAAUGCAAAUUCUUGGGGUGGACCCAAGAUUUUUCAAUUUUAAUAAGCUUCCAGGUGAUAAUUUA